Long non-coding RNA from Callithrix jacchus (white-tufted-ear marmoset), 2296 nucleotides. Lineage: Eukaryota; Metazoa; Chordata; Mammalia; Primates; Cebidae. The record is from Ensembl.
CUGGACAAGUUAGAAGGAGAAGAGGUUUAUUUGACUCACAGUUUUGCAGACUGUACAAGAAGCAUGGGGCCAGCAUCUGCUUCUGAUCUUGAAUCCACGUUGAUAUACUGGGAGCUGGUCUCGACAAUAAAGGUAUGUUGAGGGUACAGGGAUGCCCAAGAACACACACCCAUACAAACAAACAAGUUUUACAAAACUCAAACUAUAAAGCACUCAGCAGUGCUCAGAGUGCUUGAGGAGCACAGAGGAUUCUCUGGCGGGUGGGUUAAGGAGCUACCAUCUCCUGCUUCUCUACCUGUAGAAGAAUAAAUGUACAAUUGGUAUAUGCAUGUUGUUGUUGUUUUGCUGUAGAAUCCUACAGGAAAUCCUAGUAAUACUGCAUAGGAACACUUUUGCUCAAAACUCCUCUCAGGUAAGGCUCUCACCUCCUUGGAGCACUCAGCUACUAAUUUAUCGAAACCAUUAGUACUCCCCAUUAACACACCUCAGGGCCACUCUUCACAAGCAUCACUAACCAAAGAGCCACAUGCCUCUGAGUGUUGUUUAAUAUGUUGUUAUAAUAUGGAAAUAAGAGGCCAUGAGGGGUCCUGGGAGCCUGUGCUGGGGCUGUCCAUGCCCCAUCUGUACCUUUCUCCCCUCAGCACUUUGGAGCCCUGGAUAUCCAGCUGCCAGCAGGUACAUUUCUUCUUCCAUAAGUUUUCUCUGGCUGCCAUGGGAUUCAUCACUCCCGGGACAACUCAGUCAAUUACAGAUGGCGAGACCCUCAGAAGUGCAUCUGCUACGCUGGCUCCUGGAUUUCUCCAGCAGGCAUCCUAUCAUCAACGGAAGUCAAUUUCAUCCGCCUGAUGGGAAAACACCAUAUCCUUCUUAAAUGGAAUUGCCCCCUCUGAAACCGAUGUUCCAUACAAGCAAAUGACCAACUGUGCUGGCGCUGUCACAGGAUUAAAAAUGACGAUCCUAUCUCAUGCUUCUACCACUGCUCAUCAUUUCUAAGCCAUCAACAUACAGAAACCACUUGAUCUGCUUCUGAUUCGAGUCUCUUCAGGAGUGGAAGCGUAAUGGCCAGGGACACCAAUAGCUCACAGCUCCUGCACGCCUGUGAGGGAGGGAACAUCCACCCCAGAGCCUGGGAUCAACUCUGCUCUGCAGAAAUCGCCCUAAGAUAUUAAAUGUCCACAAAAAGCAGAUUGGAGCCUUGCUUCUCAGUGUUCUUCCUCCAAAGGCCUCUUACUUCCAGCAGCUGGGGAUCAGCCCCAACUGCCUCUGAAGGAGGAAAGGCCGAGUUGAUUUAGUUUUUGUUCCAGCUGGAUGGAGGCUUUGCUCUGACUCCAACUCAGAAGGAUGGGGCGCAGCCUGGGUGGGAGCAAAAAGGUUCUCUUCAUAGCCCUGCUGCUGGCGUGGGCUGCUCUUUUCACUCUCUGGACCUGUCUCCCCAUCUGUGGAAUGGGGCAAGGAUGCUGACCACCAGAUAAAUCUUUGAGAUUUAAUUUCCACGUACAAGACUUUAAAAUCCAGAGCAAAAGGGAUAAUUUGAAUAUAAAGCACUGUUAGUAUUUUGGACCCACUUCUGCCAGUACUCUGUUGUUCCCUGCUCUAGAGUCUUCUCCAGGGUUUCGUUCAGAAGCUGCUGCUGCUGUCUCACAAUACCCACAUGGCUCAGCCUCCAGCUCCCAGUGUCUGAGAAGGUGACUGUCCAUAUAGCAUGGGGACAGCCCAGUUUGCUGCACUGAUAAUUUUGCUCAUUAAUACUUGAAAAUACACACAGAGAUAAUGAUUUCUCAUAAAUACCGGGACGCUUUCUGCUUUAGAAUGAAAGCAAAAGACCUCCUUCACUGUAUGUCCCAUUACGAUGUAUGCAUCCUGGUCAUUUUACCUUUCUGUAAGAAACCCAAGGGACAGAGGGGCCAGAGGCUGUGCUGCUCCCAGUGGCUGCAGUGCUUGGAAUUUAUGAGGUUGGAAGGCUGUCAGCUAUUCAGGAUCACAGAGCUCAGGGGCUGACAACGGGAAGGGAGUCUCUUUACUAUUACCUCUCAUACAUUGACUCCAUAAAUAUCUUUUUUUAUUAUUAUUUCUGCUGUUUGUAGAUUUCAUUUAUGGAUGUGGUUAAUGCUGCAUCUGAAUGUUAAGGGAAUUACUAUCCUUGUUAAGAAUCUGACCUAUUGGGGAGAUUUGCUGAGGCUUUUCUCCCCACCGCAAUAAACACGUCUGGUAGAUGGCAAGGGGCUUAUUUUUCCCCUGGAUACCCUGGUGAGUAUUUGGGGGGAAUGACUUUUAAGAACCAGAGAGAGCAUUCCCU